GUCAGCGAACGAGCGCGCGCAAUAGCGCGGGGCAGGGGUCGCCGCGGCCGGAAGCCCACGCGGGGGGUUGCAGGGACGGGUCGUAAGGGGCGGGGCGGGCCUCGAGGAGGCGGCGGUGGGGUCCCCGGACCUCCGCGCGUGGCACAGCCCGCAUCCUGAACUGACUCCCACUCGAGGACCACCUCUCCUCUCCCUUCUGAGGGCGGAACGGAAAGGCCAAGCGCCUCCUCGCCUCGGGAGCUGCAGGACGCCCUAAUUCAGCCGAGUCGCCGCGUGCCCGGGUGCCCGCGAACAGCAGGAGAGAGGACGGGCGCUGGCCCCACAGGGGUCGCUUUACCCCUUGAAGAGCUCCUCGCUGCCUGCCCUGGGGGUGGUGGGCGUCCAGGUUCACAGGGUACUUGAGCUUGCUGGGGUGGGGGUGUGUAUGAAGUGCGUCCAGGGUUUUGUGGAGCGCGUCUAGCAGUUGCUCUACUUCUUACUGACAGUGAAACAAGGGCGCCCACGACAGGUGUUCCCUUUUCGCUGUCGCUGCCAGGAAGCUUCCAGCCAGGUUCAGCGCCCAGUGGUGUCAGCCGGCCCAUCUCGAGCCUUGGUUCCGCUGUCAUCUUCUGGUGCUUAUUCUGGUGUUUAUCCAACUGUCCGUUUUGAAAUUAUGUUCCCAAGCCAUUUAACACCUCUGGAGAACCAAAGCACUGGCUGUCAGCGGAGCGGGAUGCACGCGCAGCGGAGGGGACUGGGCACGCCAACCCCACGAGGGUUCCUGCGGAGAUGACACGGACCUUGAGGUCUGAAGCCAAAGGACGAUUUGUGUGAAGGGAUUUUAUUGUUAGCUUUGGAGCCAGCAACAAGAACACAGCCCUGGAGUUCCCGGGGCAAAAAGGAUACCAAGAUAAUAAUUCAGGUAUUACGACUAACAUGACUGCAUUUGCACCCACAGGCUGUGGGACUUGGGGACGUUUGAGCUACAUCCAAAAUACAUGAGAAAAUCACACAAGUGAAAUUGGAUGAGAGUGCGAGGGGUGAAGUGAUACAUUAUGACCUAGAAUUAGGGGAGGCUUCCUGGAGCAGGUGACAUUUGCAUUGGGUCUUGAUUGGGAAGAGUGGAACCCAGCAGUCUAGAUAGGGUCCAGAGGUAGGAGGUACCUCGCAUCCCAGGCUGCCUCAGUUCAUGGUGAGAGUGCAGAUAUUUAGUGAAACAGGAGGAAAGGACACUUGGAAAUACACCAUGAAAGAAGGAUUGAAGUUCUUGCAGACACAUGGGAGUGUCCGAGGCUUUAUUCUCCUUCCACCUUGAGCCAGUGGAAUUGCAGUGUCUUUUUUCUACACCUAUGCAGUUUUUUCUACACCUGUGCAGUUUUUUCUAGGGGAAGAUCAGACCCUCCUCUUUGGGAGGAACUCUUGCUUCUUUAGAUAAUAGCAGUGACAUUUUCUAGCCUGAAAAUUAUGAUGUAUGCCCUGAUAGGUUUAAUUAUUUGAGAAGUUCUCACAAAGGUAUACAGAUGUGCUAAGAGUAUCAAGUCAAGUGAGUGACUCUCAAGCUUCAUUAUGGGGAAGAAUAUUUGGUUUGCUUGUUAAAAUGCAGAUUCCGGCCGGGAGCAGUGGCUCAUGCCUGUAAUCCCAGCACUUUCAAAGGCCAAGGCGGGCGGAUCACGAGGUCAGGAGAUCGACAUGGUGAAACCCCGUUUCUACUAAACCCCAACAUGGUGAAACCCCGUUUCUACUAAAAUACAAAAAAUUAGCCAGGCAUGAUGGUGUGCGCCUGUAGUCCCAGCCGCUCAGGAGGCUGACACAGGGGAAUCGCUUGAACCUGGGCGGUGGAGGUUGCAGUGAGCUGAGAUCGCGCCACUGCACUCCAGCCUGGCGACAGAGCAAAACUCUAUCUCAAAAAAAAAAAAAAAAAAAAAAAUGCAGAUUCCUGGGUCCCACCCCCAAAAGAUGCUAAUUUUGUAGAUCUGAGUAGGACCUAAGGGUCUGCAUUUUUAAUACUGAAGCAUGUGGUCUUCAAGCUUAUGGCAUGUAGUAGGGACAGGACGAAAAAUGAAACUGGAGAAUGAAAUGAAACCGAGUCAGUAUGAGAAGGGCCUCAUGCACAGCACCUGGAGUUUGGACUUCAUCCCGUGGUCUGCAAUAAACACAGCAAGAAGACCUUCAAUCAGAUGCAAGCACUUGAUCUU
RNAcentral lists this long non-coding RNA (2174 nucleotides) under Homo sapiens (human). Its description in RNAcentral is "non-protein coding lnc-CCT8-6:1". Lineage: Eukaryota; Metazoa; Chordata; Mammalia; Primates; Hominidae. The record is from RNAcentral.